Osmia lignaria (orchard mason bee) is the source of this 7052-nucleotide non-coding RNA. The record is from RefSeq and is a predicted model, not a curated record. Lineage: Eukaryota; Metazoa; Arthropoda; Insecta; Hymenoptera; Megachilidae.
UGUUCAUUAAGAAUGUUUGUCUCGUGCAAACAAAAUUUUGGUUACCAAAGGACCCAUUAUUAGCAUUGUAUUGCAACAAAGAAAUUUUUGUUAUUCAGGAUAUCGCUUUCCUCUUAAUUUUCAUUUUUCGAGUUUCUAUGACGCGAUCGUUAUCGAUAUCCCACGAUAUUCCAGAAAGAGUCGUAAAAGCGUGGAAUGUUGAAGUGCUCACUUCACGCUUUAAGGACAACUUCGACGAAAAUCCGUUCAAGAUAGUUUUGUUCCGGACGGUAAGGUGAUCCGUAGGUAUCGAUGAUCCAGAAGAAAAGAAUCCUUUGAAGUACAUAUUUAGCUGUGGAUUCAUUUUUUGUUAGCUAUGUUAUGUUUUUAACCUCUUCGACCUUCGUUGUUUCCAAACUGCAACUGCACCUACGUUCUUAUCAGCAAAAACAGAUGCCAUCGUAAAUGCCCGUCGCAAAGAACAUUUGUUUCGGCUUAGACGGAGGUCCACACCCUUGUAGGUGGUUGCGACGAGAGAACCUCAACCCUGACCAUCUGGAACGACUUAAAACACCGAGAACGAGAAAGAGAGAGAGACAAGGAUGAACCCUUCGAAGUCCUUUUCUUUGGCCUCGUGCCCCUUUUCGUGUCCACCUUGAGAUAUACGUGCACGAAAAGGGACGAGUCGGAUCUGAAAGAACGGUCAAGACAAGCCCUGUCCCCAUUCACAGAGUGUGGCUAGAUUAACUCGUAAAUGGGUCUAGAUUAACCUGUGGAUUAUGAAUUCUGUGUCAAACAUCGCCACCAGUCACUCAGCGGGAAAAAAUCCGUAGAUUAGGCGAUUUAACACUGAAUAACGCCACCAGUUAUCCUAAUAUGGAUAAUCAUAUUCUUUGAGAAAUCCCAGUUCGAUUUGGAAAGUCCAAAUCUUGACUUGAAUGGAACUGUUGCACAAAGAAAAAAAGAGGAAGGAACAGAGGAAGUGGAAGAGAUCCGCGGAGGAAGACGGAAGGAGAGAGAUGGAAGGCGGGAAUAGCGUAAAGAAGGAAGAGGGUUCGAUGGCGAACGACAUCAAAGAGAAGCGACAACGGAUACGCGUAAACCUCGAAGCUGCAAAUGCCGAAAAACCGACAGAAGUUCGAGGUAACCGAGGCUUUCUCAGGAAAACUCAUCAAAGAGCCGUGGAUGGAUAAAUAUUUCCUGUUCUCAAGCUUUCAGCGCAUACGAGUGGAGGAGAGAGUUGUUCGUAACGCGAGGGAAAAAUGAUGGACGCCGUGAAGACAAACGGAUACGGAUCACCGUGAUUUGUCGGCAGUGCAGAGCGAUCAUUUGUCACGACCUUUAAUUGCAGAUGACACGAGGUGUCAAGAAUUAAAGGACAGUAAAGAGUUACUGCGAUAGAGCGAUGAAGAAAGCAAAGGACGAAUUCGUGUCACACCUUGACGCACAAAGAUCAGUCCCGUGGAUCGAUAUUCCAGUUCCACCUCCUUCCUCGUUCAGAUCGCAACCUCGUGAAGGAAGGACCAUCGUUCCAGAAUAAUCGUACGGGCAUGGAUCUAGAAACGAACGAUUCUAUAAAACGAAUUCCGUGUCGUUGGAUGGCAAAGGAUCGACGAAAACGUAUAUAGGAAUAAUCGUUGGACGAAUUCAUGCAGAGCCGCCGCAACCCGACAGAGAUAAUGGCGUCGAGCUGAAAAUGCGACGCAUGGAAACGAUGUCUGUUGUUAUUUUACGGGGGUGGAAUACCGGGCCGACGGUUAAACCGAUUUGCACAUCGGAUGCACUCUCGAUUCCUCGAACAGCGGACAAUUUCACAGGGUUCUCUAUUUACGCUGCUACCUCCAUCAUCCUCUACCCUGCUCGUUUACGUAUUUUGCUCUUUCCGGUAAAUGCAUUACGUUUAUCUAUUUUCCAUUCUUUUCUUCGAACUUGUAUCAUUCGAGGACCAAGAAAAUUAUCUCUCUUCUUUUUUAUUUGGAUUCAAUGAAACUUGAGAAAUUAAUUUUCAUGAAUAAUCGAACGCUCGCGUGAUCGAUCACGAUUCAUCAGUAAGAUAUUUCAUUCACAGAACGUCGAAAUUCACGCGACCCGUGUGCGUUAUAUCGUGGACAACAAGAAGAGCAGUUCAUUCGCUCGUCUAGUUGAGUGCUCGAGGCUUCCCUUUCGCACUGACAAGAUGCAGCUUGCAUUCGGACGUCACGUCAACGUCCGAACACCAGUCGUCGUCGACCAUUAAAUCGUUUUCUUCGUUGCUCGACAAUCCUGGCCUCGCAUAGUUACCUCGAAAACCUCCAACAUGUUGCCAUGUCGCUUUCGUACCACCGCAAAAGAAACUAGUCCACCGAAUGAAAUUGUUCAACAAUUUUAAUUCCAAGCUGAUUAAUUACCGUUCUAUAAAAUGCUUAAUUUAGGCGAAAUAUUUUUUUUUCUAUCUUAGAUCGAAAGACUUAAAUAGAAAAUUCGAGGUAUUCGAAGGCGAAAGGAGGGAAGACAAGAGGGGGGUGGUAUUCGUGGGCAUCGCGGUAUCGGCGACGUAAUAAUAACGCGGCAUCUCCUUCGUUUCUCGUCGACGAAGGGAGACGUUCUAACGAUUUUAAUAAAUUUGGCGCUGGCUAAGCUGCAACAACAGCUCGGGUAUGAAUUAAGAGGGCCGAAACACCGCUUGGAUAAACAUCUCGAAUUAGGCACCGGGAUUCUUUUCCGUCCAUCCGCGUGCACCGGGAGCUUUACGACUUCGGUAUGUUUCGGCUGACGUGGCUUGAUAUGUAUAUGAGCGGUUAGCAGGCCGCAAAGUUGCGGUAAUGGACGAGAUAUUUUACAACUGAGGGAUGUUUCAAAGAUUAGCUUCAUCCUUUGCCGCGAUCUUUUCUAAUCCCUGAUAAGACUGUCCUCUAAUUAAUCGUGUCGAAAUUGAUUAUUAUUUCUCGCCCCGUAGGUUGGUCGUAGGAAUUUAUUUCUAGUUGGUUGCAUCGAAGUCUUCGGGUAAUGAAAGAAAAAAAAAUUCGCGAAAUUAGACCACCAUGGGUGGAGUAUCCCUUCGGAGACGCGACAACAAAAUCCUACAAAAUGGUCUCGAAUUAUCGACUAUUCCGGUGGUCUGAAAUCUUCGCGUAGAAUCUUAUUGAAAGAGAUCGAAAUCCCUACCAUUAUGUUCGAAGCUCGUGGUCGUAUCCAGAGUGAUUCGCUGCCGUUUUGAAUCCAUCGUUAGAAAAUCACGUAGAAAAGAUUUUCCAUGGGCAUCGACAUAGGCCUGCUGGCACUUGUCGAAGAGGAAGAAAUUCCUCGGGCGGAUUAGCUCGAUUCGACACGAAUUCGAUUCCCUUUUGUGAUUCGACCCAGACACGGCGAUGUUGGGCAAACAGGUCAUCGGGUUUCGAUGAUGUUGAAUCAGCUAGGAUAAUUCAGUUGAAUGGAUCCUGUGAACCGAAUCGCGACACCUUCCUUACGAUUAUCCUUCGUCAAAGGAUCACUGACAAUCUUAUUACAGAUUAUCCAAAUUCUCUUUUAAUUUCUCUUUUUUCCAAUUUCAUCGGUGUUCGAUGUUCAACUACGAGUUUCAUCGAUUCGGACUAAGAAAUUCUUUUUUUUUCUACUCGGACCGACAGGUGCAGUAGCCUUCACCCGCGGAUAUUAUUUCUGUCAACCUUGGCCGUGUUUAUCUGCAUACAUAUUUGACCAACUCCUGCCGUGCAGGUCCAUCGCCUAGGUCGGUAGAGGGAGCGUAUUACCUGAAGAAGUAAUCUCUGUCGCAUGAAAUAACAUUUAGGCUGGACUGGCUGCUCUACCACCUCCCUGUUUGUUUUCACCUAUACCUGGACACUGUGUUACGUGCUUUCCGUGUGUAUAAAAGUAUCCUGACUCGAGGAUGAUCCUCCAUGUUUAGCAUCAUCACUUGUUCUGUUGCAUGUCUUCUAAUUUGUAUGUGCGUUUAAUUGCAGUGGAAGUUUCUUCAGGUAUGUGGAAAUAAGUAGAAGAAUUUAAUUAUCAUUUCGAGUCAAAGGGUUAACCAAGGUUCUUUGUGUGUCUACCAGUAGUAUUCAGCAUGGUUGACAACCUAAAGAUCACACAGUUAGCCAUUACUGAACUAUUAGAGGUUUGUCAACGUAGAUCCUUUUGGAUGACACUUUGAAGGGUACCAGGUACCUGGACUCUGUUGGUUCUGGUAACGUUUGCAGAGCGUUUCUACCUACGCAAAGCACAUAAAAUAUUAGAACUUACGUAUAUUGGUAUCCAGAAGAUUUCGUAUUUCAAGUUUAUCCAAAAUCAAAGCUCCAGUUGCUUUUCAGGCAUUUGAAUAUUUCUUGAUAUCCGCAUUGAUAACUUAAUAUCUGUUGUUUAAUUCAAUAUAUGAAGCAUAACAACGAACGAUUUGAUGAAUCCCCCUUCGGAUGUGGCGGCGAACGAGGUUUCCUCCGUUCCCUUCGGGGAUCUCGGGGGAAGAGUAGAAGCAAAGGAUACGAGAGUGUGAAAAAUAAUUUCCUGCCGCUGAUAUGUGGCAGAUCGGACGAAGGAGAAAAGUCCUAGAGGCGGGAGUAUCAAAAUAUUAUUCGAGGGUAUGCCUAGGGUAGCUGCGCAUUCUCGUGCCAUAUAGAAGCCAUGCUGAAGCUAAAGUGGAUGGUUAUUGCUCUCAACCUGACCGCUCAGGCUGCCACUAUCUCAUGGCUAUACACGAAUUUCAUAUUUACUCUCAUUUAAUGCACCAUCCGAAUCAUCGUUUUUGUAUAAAACUAAUUCGAAAUUAAUUAGUACGAGUGAAUUUUCGAAAUUUUCAAAUUAUAAAUUUACCACCUUUUUAUCGAGAAAUCGUCUCGCACGUGGCUGAAUUCUGUGGGAACGAAUAGUCUUCGCACACAUGCGCGUACAAGUACAGCUAGUACUUACAAUUAGUAGCAGGGAACUGGUGGCAGCCGCAAGCAGUGAGAGAGAGAGAGAGACUCGGUCGAUAUAUGGUCACAAUGAAGGGUGUGGCGUUCGAGGACCAAAAGCUCUCUCCUGUCUGCUUUAUCCUACCAUUGGCUGUUGCCAGGUGUCGAGAAUGGCGGACCUUUCUCCCGUCGACCCUCCUGACUGCUCUUUUAACACCACUUCAACCUCCUUUGCGACCAACGCGAAAGAUUUCUUGUUAAUUGUGACACUGGGAGGAGCGAGUGGUCGUUCUUUGAUUUUGCGAACGACACGUGAGAACAGCAAAAGAACAGACCUGAACAUUCCAAUUAUCAUCAUCAUCGAUCAUUGAUACAUAGGUAUUUGGUGUUUCGGUUGCAUUUUUCUGGCAUACCAUUACCAUUCAGGUACUAAAUAAAUUUUCAUAAUUCUACGAACUUGCAAAUAGCGAACCCGGAAAUGUUAUAUAUGUUAGAAGACGUGGAAUAAAUUCAGAGCAAAAAGUUAUUCACGUUUCUCGGUAGAGCAGUGAUUUAGAAAGAAAAUGACGUAUGCCGAGGUUCUUAGCAAGCGCCACUUUAAUGGAGACACGUGUCGCGGGUAUUUUAGAUCGGACCGCGGCCCGAUGAUGAAGAGAACGACGACGUUCGAGGAAGAUUGAUGAGGUGUGUUUACCACUAACUAAUUCCCGUCUGCUGCCGCUUCGCGUCUAGCUAACUAACUUUUGCUCGGGGCGGAACGUGGCCCUCCAGAAGCGGCCUCAAACUUGCGCCGACAAAUUGUUUGAAUUCCAGUACGGUGAAGCAGACAAUUAGAGAUGGGAACAAGAAUAGGUCUAAGAACAGUAAUCGAUGGAUGUUCUAUAAUUUGUAGAAAAGUCAAUCAGAAAAAUGAAUAAUUGGUGGAUGAAAGCGUCGGGUUAGCCGGAGGUGGUUAACGAAGCAUCAGCCUGGAUUAGGCUUGCGUCAAGCCACAAAACCAGCCUCUUCUCGGGGUUCGGCGUACGAUGAAGAAACGGAGGUUAUUCCUGGUUGAACAAACACUGGAAUGGGUCGCGUGCGCCUCCCACAUAUUUAUAGAUUUUAUCUCUCUUUGACUUCGCCGAGGCGAGUAGGCGUUCGUGUACCCGUGUGCAGUGCGAUGGGAUGCCGAGGAAAAGAAUCCAGGAGGACAGGGACGAGCAGGAGGCCGCGAAAACCGGGAGGAAAUCUGAGGAAUGCCCGACGGAACGAGGGAAAAUAUCGGACGCGAACGAAGAAAGAAGAGGAAUCGCGACAGAUCGAAGAAAUCUUUCUUUGUUUAUUCAGUGAUACUCUUUCUUGCCAUUUUCGCUGUUUCGUGAACAAUAUAAAGGUAAACAGCGACGAAGGGAGAGGUGACGAACAGUUGUCGCGAGGGAUGAAUAGAGGGAUUUUUCAUGAAGCCGUGAAACGUGGACGACUAUCGAAUCAGCCAAUUGUUCGAUCGUUUCGCAUUGUUAUUUUUAUAAUUCACCGUAUCCUCGAUCUUGCUGGCGUGGCGACGGCACCGUGUUGUUUUUAUUGGCCGCAUUUAGGGAACGCGAAAGGGACCGAGCGGGGAAAAAGGUGGUCGGUAGCAAUGGACGAAUAUACCAGAGCAAGAGGGGUGAACCGAUGGGAACGGGGUGUUGUUUCAUCCCUCGUGGCAGCUUCGUCUAUUCUAGCCGGGAGCAGCUACAUUCUAGUGCCUAAAGCGGAGCCAUAGCUAGGAUAGGAUAGGAUAGGACAGGAAGAAAGACUCGGUCCUGAAGGUGCGAAGUUUCACAAUACUAGGAUGGAUCAGUUGACGCGCGUUUUCAAGGCCUAAAUUCAAGACUCCUUGAAAACAAAGGCAUGUCCAGUCACCUUGUCACAUUUAUCAGAAAACCACGUACGCGUAAUCCCGAAAAUUAGACGUUCACUCUUCCGGAUUGGAAGGAGGCUUCUUUGUGCUUGAAAUAUACCCCAGGAUCCUGAACGAGUGGCAUCUGUAAUAACAACGUUCGCUCUUGCGGCUCUCCCUCUACGUGACUGCUACGGGAAUGCUACGUAGGAUAGAUUUCCAAAAUUCCGAUCAACUGUGAUUAAUCGUAUAUAUACAGUCACGCUUAUCAUUAGAUACAAUAAUCUUAAAUAACUCUGUCGUUUGUAUAAUUUUUAUUAUAAUAAAGUUCUACGUUCAAUGACAAA